CAUGUUAUCAACAUCAUUCAACAGAAAAAACAGGCUAAGGUAAUGUCUUCAGAUAUAACAAAAAGUCAAAAACAAGUAUAAACCUGAUAACUAAUCAAAUGAAUAAAAGAAUUUAAAUUUCUAUUUAAUAAGUGCACAAAAGAGGGACGAAAGAUACCAAAGGGACAGUCAAACUCAUAAAUCCAAAACAAACUGACAACGCCAUGGCUAAAAAUGAAAAAGACAAACAGAAAAACAAUAGUACACACG
This 249-nucleotide long non-coding RNA is filed under the name Mytilus galloprovincialis (Mediterranean mussel). Lineage: Eukaryota; Metazoa; Mollusca; Bivalvia; Mytilida; Mytilidae. The record is from RNAcentral.